GGCCCCGUCGUCUAGUGGCCUAGGACGCGGCCCUUUCAAGGCUGAGAUCGCGGGUUCGAAUCCCGCCGGGGCUA
This 74-nucleotide transfer RNA is filed under the name Chloroflexota bacterium. RNAcentral's name for it is "Chloroflexi bacterium tRNA-Glu". It matches the Rfam family "tRNA". From Rfam's summary of the family: Transfer RNA (tRNA) molecules are approximately 80 nucleotides in length. The record is from RNAcentral. RNAcentral also lists the same sequence under 2 other names. Lineage: Bacteria; Bacillati; Chloroflexota.